GGCAAGGUGGCUUAGUGGUUAGCACGCUUGCCUCGUACACCUGGGGUUCGCGGUUCGAUUCUCAUCCCUGCUC
Pangasianodon gigas (Mekong giant catfish) is the source of this 73-nucleotide non-coding RNA. Lineage: Eukaryota; Metazoa; Chordata; Actinopteri; Siluriformes; Pangasiidae. The record is from the annotation of a GenBank genome assembly.